GAUGAACGCUGGCGGCGUGCCUAAUACAUGCAAGUCGAGCGAACAGACGAGGAGCUUGCUCCUCUGACGUUAGCGGCGGACGGGUGAGUAACACGUGGAUAACCUACCUAUAAGACUGGGAUAACUUCGGGAAACCGGAGCUAAUACCGGAUAAUAUAUUAAACCGCAUGGUUCAAUAGUGAAAGACGGUUUUGCUGUCACUUAUAGAUGGAUCCGCGCCGCAUUAGCUAGUUGGUAAGGUAACGGCUUACCAAGGCGACGAUGCGUAGCCGACCUGAGAGGGUGAUCGGCCACACUGGAACUGAGACACGGUCCAGACUCCUACGGGAGGCAGCAGUAGGGAAUCUUCCGCAAUGGGCGAAAACCUGACGGAGCAACGCCGCGUGAGUGAUGAAGGUCUUCGGAUCGUAAAACUCUGUUAUUAGGGAAGAACAAAUGUGUAAGUAACUAUGCACGUCUUGACGGUACCUAAUCAGAAAGCCACGGCUAACUACGUG
Molecule: ribosomal RNA, 497 nt
Filed under: uncultured bacterium
Lineage: Bacteria
Description: partial 16S ribosomal RNA
Rfam family: Bacterial small subunit ribosomal RNA
Source: RNAcentral